This 513-nucleotide ribosomal RNA is filed under the name uncultured Gymnascella. Its description in RNAcentral is "eukaryotic LSU rRNA". It matches the Rfam family "Eukaryotic large subunit ribosomal RNA", at positions 83 to 601 of the family's 3401-position model. The record is from RNAcentral. Lineage: Eukaryota; Fungi; Ascomycota; Eurotiomycetes; Onygenales; Gymnoascaceae.
GUAACGGCGAGUGAAGCGGGAACAGCUCAGACUGAAAAUCCUUGAGUGGAAUUGUAGUCUGUCGAAGCUCAGUCAACGCUAGCAGCAGGCUAAGUCCCUUGGAACAGGGCGCCUGAGAGGGUGACAGCCCCGUAUUUGCCGGCUGCUAUUGAAAACAGCGUGUACGACGAGCUUUCAACGAGUCGAGUUGCUUGGGAUUGCAGCUCAAAGCGGGUGGUAAAUUCCAUCUAAAGCUAAAUAUUGGCUGGAGACCGAUAGCGCACAAGUAGAGUGAUCGAAAGGUUAAAAGCACCUUGAAAAGGGAGUUAAAUAGCACGUGAAAUUGUUGAAAGGGAACCGCUUGCAGUCAGACUCGGCCGCGGAGGCUCAACGGGCACUUGUGCCCGUGCACUCCUCCGUGGCCGGGCUAGCAUCAGUUCUGGCGACCGGUCAAAGGCCCCUGGAAUGUGUCGUCCUCCGGGACGUCUUAUAGCCAGGGGUGCAAUGCGGCCAGCCGGGACUGAGGAACGCGCU